CAAUAGCGUAUAUUAAAGUUGUUGCAGUUAAAAAGCUCGUAGUUGGAUUUCUGGUGGGAGCGAUCGGUCUGGCGCUUAGCGCGAGUACUUGCAUCGUCUCCGGCCAUCCUUGGGGAAAGUCUGUCUGGCAUUAAGUUGUCGGGCAGAGGAUCCUCAUCGUUUACUGUGAAAAAAUUAGAGUGUUCAAAGCAGGCUUAUGCCGUUGAAUAUAUUAGCAUGGAAUAAUAAGACAGGACUUUGGUACUAUUUUGUUGGUUUGCGCACCAAAGUAAUGAUUAAUAGGGACAGUUGGGGGUAUUCGUAUUCCGUUGUCAGAGGUGAAAUUCUUGGAUUUACGGAAGACGAACUACUGCGAAAGCAUUUACCAAGGAUGUUUUCAUUAA
This 383-nucleotide ribosomal RNA is filed under the name uncultured eukaryote. RNAcentral describes it as "partial 18S ribosomal RNA". It matches the Rfam family "Eukaryotic small subunit ribosomal RNA", at positions 592 to 976 of the family's 1831-position model. The record is from RNAcentral.